Molecule: long non-coding RNA, 2392 nt
Organism: Anguilla anguilla (European eel)
Lineage: Eukaryota; Metazoa; Chordata; Actinopteri; Anguilliformes; Anguillidae
Exons: 3
Source: RefSeq, a predicted model, not a curated record
GCGAAUCGUAACCUGUAUGGUGUUUAACCUAUUAAGGAAACUCUAUUACCAAGUUUAAAAAUAGCUAACUCGUAAAUAUACUGAAUGAACAAACUGAGAACAUUAAAGCACACUAUGUAGAUAUUACUGGGCUAAAUUGCACGUUUAUAAGGAAGACAAGCGCCCGCCUCUCUCUUCACUGCCAAGCAAAUCCAAGGAAAUAGCAAAAGAAUCGAAGCCUAUUGCCAGAAUUAGCUAACGUUAUAUCAAUAUCUACUUUGCUCGCCUGCAAGUUUACGCCACAACUUUCGUUUGUACAGAAAAGUGCACCUGUUUUACCUGCACAGAGCAGAGACCCUGAAACACGCGCCACCUAUCUUCACUGGUCGGGAUAAUUGCGGAACGCCAAACGUGAGCAUCUUCGGGAAAACGUGUUUAUUUUUUUAUUUUUUAUGAUCUGAGAGAAAGGAGCAGAGCCGGACCACCUUGCCGUCCACGCAAGAAUAAUAUUUGAAGAAAGUUGGAACACACUCCCCCUCCGUCUCCAACCCCCAACCUCUACAACCAUUGAGACAAGAAAGCAUCUAACGGAAAUCAUGCUGGAGCAACUAGCUGACCCUCACCGACCAAGGAUCAACAAACAGCACCGGAAUAUCUGGUUACUUGCAAGAUCGAGCAUCUGGGAUUCCGGCUGUCCAGCUCUUUUCCGAAAAUGCUUAUCUACUGUAUGGAUAAUUAAAUCAUCAAUCAGAAAGGGUCGGACCUAUUGAUGCUUUUGUUCAAAGCCAAUCAGAUCCCAGGGAGCAAGACAUAGCAGAAGAUGGAGAUGUGAAACAUCUGGAAUUCAGAAAUUUUCCAAAGACUGUAGAUCAUUAACCAAUUCUGAGGCCGAAUCCGCUGGGAGAAGUUUAGUGUCUGACGUCUGAUGUCAUUCGUGUCUUAGUUUAUUCAUCGCUAAUGAAUACGUAUUAUUAUGAUUAUUAUUAUUAUUAUUAUUAUUAUUAUUAUUAUUAUUAUUAAUGUUGUUGUUUUGUUAUUAUUAUUAGUAGUAGUAGUAUUAGUAUCGAUAAUAAUGAUAAUUAUGGUGGCAGUUGGGUUUUUUAUUUAAUUUUUACUGUUUUUUGAGGAUAUACACGUUUAUAUGUUUAUUAUGAAUUUAAAAGGAAUAGUAAAAUUAUCAUCCCAUGUUAUAUAAAAGAGGCUGGAUUAAUUUAUAUUUUAAUUACACCUUUUUUUUAUUAAAAGUAGCGAAUUUGUUCGUUUGUUAUUCAUUGAUUUUUGGUUUGUCUGUUUAGUCAUAAUUUGCAGGCAUGUACCAGAAGAAAUGCCAAACGCUUCCUUUCAGCGCAUUCAGGGGUAAGUAAAAACCUUGAUACUGUCUUUAAAAAUAGACAUUGCCUUUUAGCAUGCAUUUUAAUCCAGAGUAAGCUAUUUCCGCACAGUCUACUCUGGAGCGUUACGCGACCGUCCGAUUUACUGGAUGAGUUUGUGGAAGUAGUCUACAGUACGUCUUUUAUGUCGCCGAUUCCUUUUUCUCUUCAGAAUUUAUAAAUAAUUUGGAAAGAUCAACGCGUUCGUUCCAUACCGCAGACAGGUUGCAGAUGGACUGAUUAAAUCCAUGUGUGCAUCAAAUGUGGUUAAAUUAAAAACAACAUCAGCGACACGGACACCCUGACAUUAGCACACUUCGCAGUGCUAUCACUCAGUUAGCAGCUUGUUAAUUAACCCCUUCCACAAAUAACUUCGUUCUCUUUUCGUUUGGAUAUCAUGUAUGGCGUAAAACAGAAUUGCCACAUACGAUGAACCUAACGGGACCCAGUAGUCACACUGUUCUUAAUGAAUUUGUCAAUGCGGAAUGAACGUAUCCCCCUUUCUCUGUUUCCAAUAGCUGAAUCGAUUGCCUUAAACGUCGUGUGUAUACCGGUAUUGUGAAGAAUGUUAGAAAGUGUUACAUUGUAAAUACCAGACUUUGGUUGAAGAAGUGAGAUUAUUAUUUUACUGUGUCCGCAGUGUAGUCAAUUCAUGAGUGUUUUACAAUACAUUAAAAUAAUAAAACAAUGUAUUUUAAGUCAAGUAGAUACGUGUAUUUGCUUACCAUCUGCAGUACAAAUACAAAUACUUUGAUGUUCAAUUAAAGCCUUCAAUUAGAGCUGGAAUUUAAGAAAUUUAUACCAUAUACGGUUAUGUUUUAAUUGUUUACAAAGGUGAUACAAAAAUAAAAUAGCUUUUUGAAUAUACAGUGUAACAAACUGCUUUUAUAUUAGUCAUAUUUUUCACAGAUUUCUUUGUAUAGGCGUAGGCCUAUGUGACGUUCAAAAUGUAACUAGUCUGUAGUUGUCUUGAUGUGGAAAAGUUUGCAUGUACAUGAUAUUGUGGUUAAUACUAUAAAUAAACAUGCUGGAUGUGAGUUUGA